CCCCGGUAAACGGCGGCCGUAACUAUAACGGUCCUAAGGUAGCGAAAUUCCUUGUCGGGUAAGUUCCGACCUGCACGAAUGGCGUAAUGAUGGCCAGGCUGUCUCCACCCGAGACUCAGUGAAAUUGAACUCGCUGUGAAGAUGCAGUGUACCCGCGGCAAGACGGAAAGACCCCGUGAACCUUUACUAUAGCUUGACACUGAACAUUGAGCCUUGAUGUGUAGGAUAGGUGGGAGGCUUUGAAGUGUGGACGCCAGUCUGCAUGGAGCCGACCUUGAAAUACCACCCUUUAAUGUUUGAUGUUCUAACGUGGACCCGUAAUCCGGGUUGCGGACAGUGUCUGGUGGGUAGUUUGACUGGGGCGGUCUCCUCCUAAAGAGUAACGGAGGAGCACGAAGGUUGGCUAAUCCUG
This 412-nucleotide ribosomal RNA is filed under the name Salmonella enterica. RNAcentral's name for it is "partial 23S ribosomal RNA". It matches the Rfam family "Bacterial large subunit ribosomal RNA", at positions 1918 to 2329 of the family's 2925-position model. RNAcentral also lists the same sequence under 1 other name. Lineage: Bacteria; Pseudomonadati; Pseudomonadota; Gammaproteobacteria; Enterobacterales; Enterobacteriaceae. The record is from RNAcentral.